RNAcentral lists this ribosomal RNA (253 nucleotides) under uncultured bacterium. RNAcentral describes it as "partial 16S ribosomal RNA". It matches the Rfam family "Bacterial small subunit ribosomal RNA", at positions 524 to 776 of the family's 1533-position model. The record is from RNAcentral.
UACGAAGGGUGCAAACGUUGCUCGGAAUUAUUGGGCGUAAAGCGCACGUAGGCGGCAUAGCAAGUCGGAUGUGAAAUCCCUCGGCUUAACCAAGGAAGUGCACCCGAAACUGAGUAGCUGGAGUACGAAAGAGGGUCGCGGAAUUCCCGGUGUAGAGGUGAAAUUCGUAGAUAUCGGGAGGAACACCGGUGGCGAAGGCGGCGACCUGGGUCGAUACUGACGCUGAGGCGCGAAAGCGUGGGGAGCAAACAGG